UGGCCAAAGGGGACUGACUGUAAAUCAGUUGGCAGAAGCCUUCGGAGGUUCGAAUCCUUCACCGCCCA
This 68-nucleotide transfer RNA is filed under the name Chloroflexi bacterium RIFOXYC12_FULL_59_14. Its description in RNAcentral is "tRNA-OTHER". It matches the Rfam family "tRNA", at positions 16 to 71 of the family's 71-position model. Rfam says of the family: Transfer RNA (tRNA) molecules are approximately 80 nucleotides in length. Their secondary structure includes four short double-helical elements and three loops (D, anti-codon, and T loops). The record is from RNAcentral. Lineage: Bacteria; Bacillati; Chloroflexota.